UAAUUUAUAAAAGCGCCAGGACUUAAACCGGAGCGGAAUUUAUUGGUUUAAGUUGACGAGGACAGGGUUUAUCGAAUUAUCGGCGGGUGCCCUGCGGUGUUACUCUCCACCGAUAAAAGCUUUACAAAACCUAUGAGCGAUUGUAGGAACAAAUAAAGCUGGGAGAGUAGU
This 171-nucleotide non-coding RNA is filed under the name Caminicella sporogenes. RNAcentral describes it as "GlcN6P sequence". It matches the Rfam family "glmS glucosamine-6-phosphate activated ribozyme aptamer". From Rfam's summary of the family: This entry contains a glucosamine-6-phosphate activated ribozyme that is found in the mRNA for GlmS. GlmS is an enzyme that uses fructose-6-phosphate and glutamine to generate glucosamine-6-phosphate. The record is from RNAcentral. RNAcentral also lists the same sequence under 1 other name. Lineage: Bacteria; Bacillati; Bacillota; Clostridia; Peptostreptococcales; Caminicellaceae.